Molecule: ribosomal RNA, 371 nt
Filed under: uncultured bacterium
Lineage: Bacteria
Description: bacterial SSU rRNA
Rfam family: Bacterial small subunit ribosomal RNA
Source: RNAcentral
GACGAACGCUGGCGGCGUGUUUAACACAUGCAAGUCGAACGGUGAAGCCCUUCGGGGUGGAUCAGUGGCGAACGGGUGAGUAACACGUGAGCAAUCUGCCCUUGACUCUGGGAUAACUUCGGGAAACCGGAGCUAAUACCGGAUAUGACAUACGGCCGCAUGGUCUGUGUGUGGAAAGAUUUAUUGGUCAGGGAUGAGCUCGCGGCCUAUCAGCUUGUUGGGGGUAAUGGCCUACCAAGGCGACGACGGGUAGCCGGCCUGAGAGGGUGACCGGCCACACUGGGACUGAGACACGGCCCAGACUCCUACGGGAGGCAGCAGUGGGGAAUAUUGGACAAUGGGCGAAAGCCUGAUCCAGCAACGCCGCGUGA